UCUAGGAAAGAAUCUGGAGACAGGUGCUGCAUGGCUGUCGUCAGCUCGUGUCGUGAGAUGUUGGGUUAAGUCCCGCAACGAGCGCAACCCUUGCCUUUAGUUGCCAGCAGUUCGGCUGGGCACUCUAAAGGGACUGCCGGUGUUAAACCGGAGGAAGGUGGGGAUGACGUCAAGUCCUCAUGGCCCUUAUGUCCAGGGCGACACACGUGCUACAAUGGCCGGCACAACGGGAAGCGAGUUCGCGAGGACGAGCGGAUCCCUCAAAGCCGGUCGCAGUUCGGAUUGAAGUCUGCAACUCGACUUCAUGAAGCUGGAAUCGCUAGUAAUCGUGGAUCAGCCAAGCCGCGGUGAAUACGUUCCCGGGCCUU
RNAcentral lists this ribosomal RNA (368 nucleotides) under uncultured Synergistaceae bacterium. RNAcentral describes it as "bacterial SSU rRNA". It matches the Rfam family "Bacterial small subunit ribosomal RNA", at positions 1016 to 1382 of the family's 1533-position model. Lineage: Bacteria; Thermotogati; Synergistota; Synergistia; Synergistales; Synergistaceae. The record is from RNAcentral.